This 497-nucleotide ribosomal RNA is filed under the name uncultured bacterium. RNAcentral describes it as "partial 16S ribosomal RNA". It matches the Rfam family "Bacterial small subunit ribosomal RNA", at positions 28 to 507 of the family's 1533-position model. The record is from RNAcentral.
GAUGAACGCUGGCGGCGUGCCUAAUACAUGCAAGUCGAGCGAACGGACGAGAAGCUUGCUUCUCUGAUGUUAGCGGCGGACGGGUGAGUAACACGUGGAUAACCUACCUAUAAGACUGGGAUAACUUCGGGAAACCGGAGCUAAUACCGGAUAAUAUUUUGAACCGCAUGGUUCAAAAGUGAAAGACGGUCCUGCUGUCACUUAUAGAUGGAUCCGCGCUGCAUUAGCUAGUUGGUAAGGUAACGGCUUACCAAGGCAACGAUGCAUAGCCGACCUGAGAGGAUGAGCGGCCACACUGGAAGUGAGACACGGUCCAGACUCCUACGGGAGGCAGCAGUAGGGAAUCUUCCGCAAUGGGCGAAAGCCUGACGGAGCAACGCCGCGUGAGUGAUGAGGGUCUUCGGAUCGUGAAACUCUGUUAUUGGGGAAGAACAUAUGUGUAAGUAACUGUGCACAACUGGACGGUACCUAAUCAGAAAGCCACGGCUAACUACGUG